This 164-nucleotide small nuclear RNA is filed under the name Carlito syrichta (Philippine tarsier). RNAcentral describes it as "U1 spliceosomal RNA (ENSTSYG00000034103.1)". It matches the Rfam family "U1 spliceosomal RNA". From Rfam's summary of the family: U1 is a small nuclear RNA (snRNA) component of the spliceosome (involved in pre-mRNA splicing). Its 5' end forms complementary base pairs with the 5' splice junction, thus defining the 5' donor site of an intron. There are significant differences in sequence and secondary structure between metazoan and yeast U1 snRNAs, the latter being much longer (568 nucleotides as compared to 164 nucleotides in human). The record is from Rfam by way of RNAcentral. Lineage: Eukaryota; Metazoa; Chordata; Mammalia; Primates; Tarsiidae.
AUACUUACCUAGCAGGGGAGAUACCAUGAUCACAAAGAUGGUUUUCCUAAGGCGAGGCUUAUCCAUUGCACUCUGGAUGUGCUGACCCCUGAGAUUUCCCCAAAUGUGGGAAACUCAACUGCAUAAUAUGGGGUAGUGGGAGACUGCAUUCAUACUCUCGCUUA